RNAcentral lists this ribosomal RNA (484 nucleotides) under uncultured bacterium. Its description in RNAcentral is "partial 16S ribosomal RNA". It matches the Rfam family "Bacterial small subunit ribosomal RNA", at positions 29 to 507 of the family's 1533-position model. The record is from RNAcentral.
AUUGAACGCUGGCGGCAUGCUUUACACAUGCCAGUCGAACGGCAGCGCGGGCUUCGGCCUGGCGGCGAGUGGCGAACGGGUGAGUAAUACAUCGGAACGUGCCCAGUAGUGGGGGAUAGCUCGGCGAAAGCCGGAUUAAUACCGCAUACGACCUGAGGGUGAAAGCGGGGGUUCUUCGGACCUCGCGCUAUUGGAGCGGCCGAUGGCAGAUUAGCUAGUUGGUGGGGUAAAGGCCUACCAAGGCGACGAUCUGUAGCUGGUCUGAGAGGACGACCAGCCACACUGGGACUGAGACACGGCCCAGACUCCUACGGGAGGCAGCAGUGGGGAAUUUUGGACAAUGGGCGAAAGCCUGAUCCAGCAAUGCCGCGUGUGUGAUGAAGGCCUUCGGGUUGUAAAGCACUUUUGGCGGGAACGAAAAGGACUGUGCCAAUACCACGGUUCGAUGACGGUACCCGCAGAAUAAGCACCGGCUAACUACGUG